AACGCACCUUGCGCCCUUUGGUAUUCCGAAGGGCAUGCCUGUUUGAGUGUCAUGAAAACAUCAUCCCAUCGGGUUUCCGAUGACGAUGGACUUGGGUGUUGCCGACCGGCUCGCCUUAAAAGUGUUAGUGGUUCCGAGAUUGAAUCUGGCGUAAUAAGUUUCGCUGGCCUAGGUCGAGGUCUGCUCAUAACCCGUCUUCUGACAUCUUUUGCUCUGACCUCAAAUCAGGUAGGACUACCCGCUGAACUUAA
RNAcentral lists this unclassified non-coding RNA (251 nucleotides) under uncultured fungus. RNAcentral's name for it is "sequence contains ITS2". The stretch from base 1 to 52 matches the Rfam family "5.8S ribosomal RNA", at positions 103 to 154 of the family's 154-position model. The record is from RNAcentral. Lineage: Eukaryota; Fungi.